This 253-nucleotide ribosomal RNA is filed under the name uncultured bacterium. RNAcentral's name for it is "partial 16S ribosomal RNA". It matches the Rfam family "Bacterial small subunit ribosomal RNA", at positions 524 to 776 of the family's 1533-position model. The record is from RNAcentral.
UACGAAGGGGGCUAGCGUUGCUCGGAAUCACUGGGCGUAAAGCGCACGUAGGCGGCUUUUUAAGUCGGGGGUGAAAUCCUGGAGCUCAACUCCAGAACUGCCUUUGAUACUGAGAAGCUUGAGUCCGGGAGAGGUGAGUGGAACUGCGAGUGUAGAGGUGAAAUUCGUAGAUAUUCGCAAGAACACCAGUGGCGAAGGCGGCUCACUGGCCCGGUACUGACGCUGAGGUGCGAAAGCGUGGGGAGCAAACAGG